This is a small nucleolar RNA of Mus spicilegus (steppe mouse), 139 nucleotides long. The record is from Ensembl. Lineage: Eukaryota; Metazoa; Chordata; Mammalia; Rodentia; Muridae.
GUGUAGCCCGUCAGACAGGCACUCUGCUCCUCUAUAAAGAGCGCGGGUUUAUCCACGCCCUACGACAUGAAUGAAAUGAGUUUUCAGGGCUGCCAACUCUCUGGUUAGGGUUCUGCAGUAGUAUGUUUCUUUUACAAUA